UUUUUUUUUUUUUUUUUUUUUUUUUUUUUUUUAAGUAAUCUCUACAUCCAGCAUUGGGCUCAAACUCACAACCUUGAGACCAAGAGUUACGUGUUCUACUGACUGGGCCAGCCAGGUGCCUGACAAUUCUGAAUAUUCUUAUCACCACCAUUACCAUUAUCACCAUAACCACUACCAUUAACUUAGAGUGAAAUCCUCCCAUAGCAAAUCAUAACUUUAAAACAUGUCUGGGAUCCUGACCAAUCAGGGUGUGCCUCUUCUCUUCCUCCUUUGGGUGGUAACCAAGAGACAGAUGGGCAGAGUGAGGUGAAAUAUUUCCUGUUGCUGUAGCUCUAUCACUAAAUCUCUGGCUAUAUGAUCAGAAAUAAACUAGAGAAACAGAAAUUGAGAAUGGAGAAGACCUUACAGAACCAGAUGCAUUCUGGAUUUUCAGAGAUUCAGUCUGGGACUUAAUACCUCCAGGACUUUCCCUUCUACUCAUUCCAUCUCUCAUGUUUACUUCCUUCUGCUUGGCUUCACUCUCUCCUGUAACAGAUGGGCCUUUUGCACUGCAGAAAACAUAUCUGCCAGCAGCCUUGGGCUUAUAUCAUCCCAGUUAUCUUUCUCAGAAGAGGAUAUAUUUUCUCAGCUUCAUUUUGGAUUUUUCCAAGGAAAACUCUGAGUGACUUGAGUCAUUUACCUGUCCCUGGGCCAAGCAUUAUGGUCAAGAAGAGAAGUCUUCUCUGAUCCUGCCUAUGGUACAUGUCCACUUUUUGACCAGGGGGUAGGGUCUUAUAAUUGGCAACCUCACAAAACCCAUACGGGAUGCAUAGUGGGGGUAAUGCCCUUCUCCUGAAGAAGAGAAAGAUGUCAUUAAAAGAAAGAUGCUUCAAAUGUUCACCAAAGAUAGAUCAAAGAUAGCUAGCUUGAUGGGAAACUAGCUAAUUAGCUGAUGGUUACAUGUGUUAAUGAUCAUUAUAAGGUCUAAUAUUUAUUCUCAUUAUUUUUUUCCAAAAGAUUUAUUUUUGCUAUUCUCUUCUGUGCAAUUAUUCAAAUGUUUUAUAGAAUUGUCAUGUACCAAAAAAGAAAAGAAAAAUCUGUUGGUAUCUUUAUUAGAAUUGAUGACACCUAGGAGUAAUUUGGAAAGAGUAGACAUUUUUACAUUAGAUUUCCUGUUCAAGUAUAUAGCAUAGCUUUUCCACUUAUUCAAUCUUUUUUUCCAAUCUCCUAAAAGUUUCUGUAGGUCUUUUAUGUAAUAUAGGUGAUUAUUAGCAUAAUAGCUAAGAGUGGAACAGUCUUUGAUUAGCAAAAUAUCUUAACAGAACAGAGGUAGGGCUGCCACACACUGCUGUUCAAUCUGCGCAUGACACGAGCCCCGGGAGCCCCAUUUAUGUGGACUGACUAUGAUGUUGUGGUUUGACUAUAAUAUAGAUAGAUGUGGACUCCGUGAGGCCCCUGGAGCUAUGCAGUGAAGUCCCUCUGCGAAGAAGGGAAGAAUGUUGACGGGAGCCAAAGCAAUGAAUGAGAGGGAUGGCUAAGCUUCUCUGUAUGAGAACAUGAGAAAAUUCUUCUUUAGUUCUUGAGAGAGAAAAGGAUCAGAAAGGUAGGCAAAAAGAAGCUUAUGUGAUGGUGGAUGGAGGCCUAGUACAUAGAAGAAGAGACCGGUGAGACAUUUACAACAGAAUGUUCUAAAGGUUCAGUUGUUCAAAGUGGGAUGGCAGGUUUCUAUCUUCAGUAAAAUUUCUGCUACCUGAUACAAUCUUAUAUUUCAAAACCACUUUGGGUUGGAAGAGGGGAACAGAGCAGGUACUAUGUGCCCUGGCUUGCAUUAAAGUCACAGAGAGAUAAAAGAAUAGACACAAACAUGCAGAGAAUAGAAAGAAUUCAGGGAAUGGAGAUGGAAGGUUUGGGCCAAUCAUAUCUGGAACUUGGGAUUGCAGGGUGCGGGCGCCCUUGCCGAUGCCUACAUUGCAUGCAUGAAGACUCCAUACCACUCUAGGUGGUGUUCCAUAAAUUUUGGUGUUUUUCCUUGUCCCUCUAAGCGGGACCCUUUUUUUUCCUGCCAGUUUUUGCAGGUUACAGGAAUCUGUCUUUAUCUCUGUCUCUGUCUCUGUUAUCUAUUAUCUACGUAAGCACAUAUAAGAUAUAUGUAACAUAUAAUAUUAUAUGAAAUAAGGAAUAUUAAAAAGAUAUAUUAAGCCUUUUGGUGCUUUUUAUUUCUUCCUGCUGACCCAGCUUUUAUCGAGUAUCAUUUUUCCUUUAGACCAAAGAAUUUCUUUUGGUAUUUCUUAUGGUUUAGGUCAGCUGUCAGCAAAUUCUCUCUCAUCUUAUAUCUAUCUGAAAAUGUCUUUAUUUUGUAUUUCUUUUUAAAGAACCAUUAGAGUAUAGUAUAGGUUGACUUUACUUUUGGUAAUUUAAAGAUGUUGUGGUUUGACUAUAAUAUAGAUAUGUGUGUUUUCCUUGUAUUUAUCUUUCUUGUCAUUUGCUGAGCUUCUUGGUUCUGUUGAGUUAAUGUCUUUAAAAAUAUUUUGGAAAAUUACUGGAAACUCCCGACUCUUUCAUCUCUCUUUCUUGGGCUCCAAUUACAUGUUUUAGAUCAGUAGUAUUGUUCCAAAGGUCUUAGAUGUUGUAAUCUGUUUUUAUCUCUCUCUUCUCUUUGUGGUUUAGUUUGGGUAAUGUCUGUUGGCCCAAAUGUCUUCCAGUUCAGUGAUUAUUUACUAUGUCCAGACUGCUUUUAAGCCCAUGAAAUGAAUUCUUUGUAGUUAAUAUCAUAUCUUCAUUUUUAGCAUUUCAUUUUUUUAAAACUUUUUAUCUCUUUGCUGAAAUUUUUAAACUUUUUAUCUCUUUGCUGAAAUUCUCCAUAUGUUGUGGACUAAUUUCCCAUAUAUAUGGAAAAAAUGGUGUAUACAGACACAGACACACAGAGGCCACUCUGGUUUGCUUAUUUUAAGAUGACAGCCCACUUUCUACCAGUAAGAAAGGAUAGGACUCAGGCCCAAGGAUGUCUAAUUGGAUUGCCAAACCCAUAGAGAAAGUGCUUUAACUCAAUAUGAUGGAAAAUUUUAUUUUCAAAUAAGGAAAACAAUCUUUUUUCUUUCAGUGGUAAUUAUCACCAUGAGAUAACAGAGGCAUUUGGGCAUAGUACUUAAAUGGAUAGAGUUUUAAUUCAGGCAAAACUGGAGUUAAAUUCCUUGCUCUGCUGUUCAUGAGCCCUUCAGUCUUGAGCAAGUUAGAUAUUCCUCUAAGUCUCAGUUCUUCAUCAGUGAAAUGUGGAUAAUGACAAAAAUACCUUCUUCAUGGGGUUGCUGUGAGGUUUAAAUGUGAUCACACCUGGACAGUAAGUAGCACAGAGAGAUGCCCAGUUAAUGUGAGCUGUUUUCCUUCUCUUACAUCCUGUCUCACCAUAUCCCUUUCCCUCUAGGUUGAAACAGAGCAAAGAGAACCAGUUUUGUCGUGGUCAUUGAUAUACCUCUAGCAUCCAUCCCAUUGUAGGCACUCAAUAAAUACUUGUUGAAAGAAUAAAUUAAAAAGCUCUUCUCUGAGUAAGGCAACCCAAAAUGUUGGGCUCACCAAGGAUCAGACUUACCUUAAAACAAUAUUUUCAUUACCCAUCCAGAAACAGGAGGUGUUUUAUCAAAUAUAUUAAACUUCAAAGCCUCAAAAUGGUAUUGAAAUUCCUGGCUCACACACUUCAGGCUAUGUUGGGGGCAAAGAAGUGGCAAAUUCAUUUUAUUGACACACAGUCGGGGAACUUUCUGACCAUUUCCUUCAUUCCAUGAAUGAGAAUUGACAAUCACUGUAAGUCUUGGCUAAAUAUAUCAUCUGAUCAGGGGCACCUGGGUGGCACAGUUGGUUAAGCAGCCAACCUUUGGUUUCUGCUCAGGUUGUGAUCUCAGGGUUGAGAUCUCAGGAUCAUGAGUGUCAGGCUCCGAACUCAGAGGGGAGUCUGCUGCCUUUCUCCCUCACCCUCUCUGCCCCUCCCCUCACUUUCUUUCU
RNAcentral lists this long non-coding RNA (3975 nucleotides) under Canis lupus familiaris (dog). RNAcentral describes it as "lncRNA (ENSCAFG00845006587.1)". The record is from RNAcentral. Lineage: Eukaryota; Metazoa; Chordata; Mammalia; Carnivora; Canidae.